This 2173-nucleotide long non-coding RNA is filed under the name Triticum aestivum (bread wheat). RNAcentral's name for it is "long non-coding RNA (TAES_LNC007251)". The record is from RNAcentral. Lineage: Eukaryota; Viridiplantae; Streptophyta; Magnoliopsida; Poales; Poaceae.
UGUUUGUUUGUUCUUGGGCAUAUGUUCAUGGCGGAUGGCUGAGCCUGAUCGUCUUCACGACCAUCGCCAUCAUCUGCCUCUACACCGGGCUUCUAGAACCUUGUUGCUGCUUUGUUUGCUUCUUCACAUGAUGCAAUAUAUUUGUCCUGCUAGCCUUCCCACGGUGAGAACAAUCAAACUUGGCAGUUUUCAGCUUUCCAGUGACAUGAAUAGCAGCAGCGAUGCAUAGGACCUCUCCAGCCUGAAGAUUUUCACAGGAAAAUAAUUUGAUUAUGAACAGAUUAUAGAAGGCAAAAACUGGUCUAUUACAAAAGUAGAAAAUGUUAGCACAACACUGAAAUUUGAAAGUGCUUAACGUAAGUAAAAUUUUGUAACAUAACAUAGAAAUUUUCAAUCACUUAGUCUGUAGGUAAAAAAUUGUCCAGAUCAUAUAUAAUCAUAUAUGAAGUUACACAAUACCUUGUGACGACGCCUGAAUGUUAGUUGUGCAGUGCCAGCGGCCCUUCCAGCCCCCUUUUCUCAAAUUGCCGGCAAACAUGCACAUAUAAGUAAGAAAUUUGCAAUAGAACUUACAAUUGAUAAUUUAUAAAAAAAAACCUUUGAACAAACAACAAUAUUUUAGAAACCUUGAUCCCCUUGGGUGGUGGAUUAUUCCCAAAUUAAACACUAUAUCCUACGAAGAACAGCGGAAGACAUAGAAGCAAUUGUGCACUUUAGGGGCUAGCACUGGAAGUUUACGAUGACGGAGAUGUCAUCUUUGCUCGUCCUAUUCAUAGGCUGAAGCUCUGCUAGCAGCGGAUGUUUACGACGACGCAGGAUAUGCCGUCUUUGCUCCUCAUGUUCACCGGCUGAUCCGCCAGAUGCUUCACAACUGCCUGUGUGUCCCUGAUGUCAUUGCUCUAACUGUAAAGAUUGAUAGUCCACCUCUAGCAAGAUAUUUUCAGUCCUUUUCAAAGGAACCAAACCAAUUGCAGUUGAUUGUUUAUAUAAAUACAUACCCAUGAUUAUUAAGAUGACAUGUACACAGUAUUUUGUCUAUCCAACAAGCAAAUUUCCACGACAAGCAAGCAAGGCAAACACCAAAUAGUGCAUGAAUCAUAUCAGGAGAGGAGAGGGACCAAACAACAGUGUCACUUACCUUUUAUCUGCCGGUAACCAUAUCAGUCAUCAUUGUCACCUCCCGUUGACUCGCCCACCACAGUCGAUCAGUGUCGUCUUGCACUGCACUGUCAUAUUCAUGCCAGUAUACUCUAAUAAAGAGAAUUUUCAACAUGCAAGAAUGUGCUUCUGCAGCUAACAUGCAUGUACAGAAGGCCCUGUAUAGUAUAUGUGAUCACAUUUAUUCCUCUCUAAUGUUCAUAAUUGCCAUCUUCUCCUGAUGUUUUUAACACUCUUAGGUUCUGAUACGAACAUGCUACUAUACUUGUGUAAGUGGUACUGUAUUAGAAUGAUAAAAUAGACUGCUCUUGGUUGUUGUGUCACACACUGGAAUCGAUUACAAUAUAACCCACAUGUGCAGGCCAUCAUUCAUUUACUAAUUUUGUACUUAUGAUCCCCCAUGCUUUAAUAAACAUGUAAUUCUUCUUUCUUAUCUUGAUCCAGAUUAUUUCAUGAUGUCACUUAAUUCAUAGUACAGAUUUUCUCUUAACAUGGGAUAAGAAUAGAGACUAACCCUGAAACAAAUUGAUGCUUAACUUGACUGAUCCUAUUUUAUGAACCAAAAAAUCAAGUUAACAGUAGAAGUCACUCAUAGAUUAUUUGACUAAGAUCUAUUCAUGGUAUCCUCUAGUCCAAGAUUGUAGCUGAUGUUGAUGGCAUCGAAAAUAAUCAACACAUUAGUACCAUCCUAAACGACUUGAUUGUUGCAGCCGAACUCUAAAUACAAUUAGUGCCUGCAUCUAGCACCUCCGGUUCCCUUGCUCCCAUACAUGUCGUGGAUCCACCAAUUGGAUAACUCUCUAUUGUACUGUAUUGACACAAAAUAAUGAACAUUCGAUUAGCUUGAAUCAAAAUUCUGCAACCAUUUCUACUUACAAGAGUGUCAAAAGGGAUAUUCAUUGCACGAUAACAUAAGAGUCCAAUAAUUGUUUUCACCUAACAGAAGACACCAGGGCCAGAAUCUUGUGUCAUUAAUACAAUCCUGAUGGCGAGGGUGGCGAGGCGACGACAAGAU